UACGAAGGGGGCUAGCGUUGUUCGGAAUUACUGGGCGUAAAGCGCACGUAGGCGGACUAUUAAGUCAGGGGUGAAAUCCCGGGGCUCAACCCCGGAACUGCCUUUGAUACUGGUAGUCUCGAGUCCGGAAGAGGUGAGUGGAAUUCCGAGUGUAGAGGUGAAAUUCGUAGAUAUUCGGAGGAACACCAGUGGCGAAGGCG
Molecule: ribosomal RNA, 200 nt
Filed under: uncultured bacterium
Lineage: Bacteria
Description: partial 16S ribosomal RNA
Rfam family: Bacterial small subunit ribosomal RNA
Source: RNAcentral